This 460-nucleotide ribosomal RNA is filed under the name uncultured bacterium. Its description in RNAcentral is "partial 16S ribosomal RNA". It matches the Rfam family "Bacterial small subunit ribosomal RNA", at positions 338 to 795 of the family's 1533-position model. The record is from RNAcentral.
CCUACGGGUGGCAGCAGUGAGGAAUAUUGGUCAAUGGCCGAGAGUCUGAACCAGCCAAGUCGCGUGAAGGAAGAAGGAUCUAUGGGUUGUAAACUGCUUUUGUAAGGGGGUAAACUCAGAUACGCGUGUCUGUUUGAAAGUACCGUAUGAAUAAGCAUCGGCUAACUCCGUGCCAGCAGCCGCGGUAAUACGGAGGAUGCGAGCGUUAUCCGGAUUUAUUGGGUUUAAAGGGUGCGUAGGCGGGUGAAUAAGUUAGCGGUGAAAUCCCGAGGCUCAACUUCGUACUUGCCGUUGAAACUGAUUGGCUUGAGAGUAGUAGAGGUAGGCGGAAUGCGUGGUGUAGCGGUGAAAUGCAUAGAUAUCACGCAGAACACCGAUUGCGAAGGCAGCUUACCAGGCUACUACUGACGCUGAGGCACGAAAGCGUGGGGAUCAAACAGGAUUAGAUACCCGAGUAGUC